Molecule: non-coding RNA, 81 nt
Filed under: unclassified sequences
Description: Proteo-phage-1 RNA
Rfam family: Proteo-phage-1 RNA
Source: Rfam by way of RNAcentral
ACCGUGCCGGGCGGUGCCGCAAGGCGUAUCCCGGAUGAGGAUAAGACGGUGAGUGCCUCACAUCGGAAAACCCCGUCAGGC